AGCAGCCGCGGUAAUUCCAGCUCCAAUAGCGUAUAUUAAAGUUGUUGCAGUUAAAAAGCUCGUAGUUGAAUUUCGGGGUCAAUACGUCGGUCGUGCUUUCGGGUACGUACUGGCGUCAUUGGUUUCUCCUUUCUGACGAACCAUGAUGUCAUUAAUUUGGUGUUAUGGGGAGUUAGGACUGUUACUUUGAAAAAAUUAGAGUGUUUAAAGCAGGCAUUAGCUUGAAUACAUUAGCAUGGAAUAAUGAAAUAGGACGUUCGAUCCUAUUUUGUUGGUUUCUAGGAUCAACGUAAUGAUUAAUAGGGAUAGUUGGGGGCAUUAGUAUUCAAUUGUCAGAGGUGAAAUUCUUGGAUUUAUUGAAGACUAACUACUGCGAAAGCAUUUGCCAAGGAUGUUUUCAUUAAUCAAGAACGAAAGUUAGGGGAUCGAAGACGAUCAGAUACCGUCGUAGUCUUAACCAUAAACUAUGCCGACUAGGGAUCAGAUGAUGUUAAUUUUUAAUGACUCAUUCGGCGCCUUA
RNAcentral lists this ribosomal RNA (520 nucleotides) under uncultured Glomus. RNAcentral's name for it is "SSU rRNA". It matches the Rfam family "Eukaryotic small subunit ribosomal RNA", at positions 569 to 1090 of the family's 1831-position model. The record is from RNAcentral. Lineage: Eukaryota; Fungi; Glomeromycota; Glomeromycetes; Glomerales; Glomeraceae.